Molecule: ribosomal RNA, 406 nt
Filed under: uncultured bacterium
Lineage: Bacteria
Description: partial 16S ribosomal RNA
Rfam family: Bacterial small subunit ribosomal RNA
Source: RNAcentral
AUUGAACGCUGGCGGCAGGCCUAACACAUGCAAGUCGAGCGAGCGGCGGACGGGUGAGUAAUGUCUGGGAAACUGCCUGAUGGAGGGGGAUAACUACUGGAAACGGUAGCUAAUACCGCAUACCAUCAGAUGUGCCCAGAUGGGAUUGGCUAGUAGGUGGGGUAAUGGCUCACCUAGGCGACGAUCCCUAGCUGGGCUGAGAGGAUGACCAGCCACAGUGGGACGGGGACGCGGUCCAGACUCGUACGGGGGGCAGCAGUGGGGAAUAUUGCACAAGGGGCGCAAGCCUGAUACAGCCAUGCCGCGUGUGUGAAGAAGGCCUUCGGGUUAUAAAGCACUUUCAGCGGGGAGGCGUUACCCGCAGAAGAAGCACCGGCUAACUCCAUGCCAGCAGACGCGGUAAUUC